Molecule: non-coding RNA, 94 nt
Organism: Rhodovulum sp. NI22
Lineage: Bacteria; Pseudomonadati; Pseudomonadota; Alphaproteobacteria; Rhodobacterales; Paracoccaceae
Source: Rfam
GGUUCGGGAGCAGCCGGUGGGACGGCUGCAGGAAUGGAAUCUGACCCCCUUCAUUCGUGAGCGGAGCGUUGCUGUGGCCCGACGGCAUGGCGCG